RNAcentral lists this ribosomal RNA (413 nucleotides) under uncultured bacterium. Its description in RNAcentral is "bacterial SSU rRNA". It matches the Rfam family "Bacterial small subunit ribosomal RNA", at positions 505 to 916 of the family's 1533-position model. The record is from RNAcentral.
GUGCCAGCAGCCGCGGUAAGACGAGGGAUCCUAGCGUUGUUCGGAAUUAUUGGGCGUAAAGCGGGUGUAGGCGGACUUAUAAGUCAGGUGUGAAAUCCCAGGGCUCAACCCUGGAAGUGCAUUUGAUACUGUAAGUCUUGAAUGUGGUAGAGGUUACUGGAAUUGUUGGUGUAGUGGUGAAAUACGUAGAUAUCAACAGGAAUACCGGAGGCGAAGGCGAGUAACUGGGCCAACAUUGACGCUGAGAUCCGAAAGUGUGGGGAUCAAACAGGAUUAGAUACCCUGGUAGUCCACACUGUAAACGAUGGAUACUUGUUGUUAGAGGUAUUGACCCCUCUAGUGACGCAGCUAACGCGUUAAGUAUCCCGCCUGGGGAGUACGGUCGCAAGAUUAAAACUCAAAUAAAUUGACGG